GAGGGGUAUCGGGGCUGGGCCCCGCCUGGUCUGCAAAACCAGUGGAUGCUCUGGACAAGAAGCUAUGGUGGGUUCGAUUCCCACUACCCCUCUCCA
This 96-nucleotide transfer RNA is filed under the name Nitrospirota bacterium. RNAcentral's name for it is "Nitrospirae bacterium (hot springs metagenome) tRNA-OTHER". It matches the Rfam family "Selenocysteine transfer RNA". The record is from RNAcentral. Lineage: Bacteria; Pseudomonadati; Nitrospirota.